Molecule: long non-coding RNA, 1727 nt
Filed under: Monodelphis domestica (gray short-tailed opossum)
Lineage: Eukaryota; Metazoa; Chordata; Mammalia; Didelphimorphia; Didelphidae
Description: lncRNA (ENSMODG00000050901.1)
Source: RNAcentral
GUUUCACGUAUGGUCAUGGUGACCGAGGUUAGGUCAGUGAAUCGUGAGAUGAUAUAUCUUUGUGAAACCUGGGAUAAGAGUCCAACCUGCGGCUGCUCCAUAAUGUAUGUCCUUAGUGGGUUUGGGCUCGAGAAGGAGAAAGGAGUCGGAGAAAAUGGGUGAUAAAUCAAGAGACACAGAGAAGUGAAUUGAAAUGGGAGCGGCGAUGGGCCCUGAUACUAUUUUCCUUAGAAAAACCAUGAAAGGAAAAUCUGAGACAUAAGAGACCAAGCGGAGGUAAGAAUUCUGAGAUAGAAGGACGUGGCCAAUAGUGGCGCUAGGACAGAUAAAGAGAGACAGCAGGGAGAACUCCAAGGUUGCAGGAAACAAGAGAAAAAGCAGGGGGCCUCACCCCAGCCUUUAUUGUGGAUUGAGAGGUGAUCAAUGAAUAGGUGACAUAGUACAUAGUUCUUAACUUUGGUUGCAUAGACAAUGACAAGAUCAGAGGAGGCGGGGAUUCUCCUGACAUGAGCUUUUCAGAGGAACGAGGUUUGACAUGGUGAGGGCUAAGCCUUUGUGGCUCAGGCCCAGGAAUUCUCUUGCCCUCAGAACUGCCGAUACAUCGAUCGUGAAUGGAUCUGAUCAAGUAUUUCAUACAUCAACCAUACCCCCAUGCCUGGUUUUCUCCCUCCCCUUGCCUUCCUUCCUGCUUUCUUCCCUCCCUGGUGAAAUGAAGGUCCCCUCAUGAAGGUGCUUCUGGAAGGUAAGUGUAAUGAAUCCAUUUCCGCUCACCCUCCUGGUUGUGGUGGAUGCCAGCCUCUGGUCAGCAAGGUGGCAAUCCCUCCUUACCCAGGGGGUCCAUACCGGGGUGGGAGGGAGUUGUGUGUCAGCAUCAGGAGCAGUAGUAGCAGCUGAAUAGCUCCUCUGGGGACCUACCAAAGUCUCCCCUUUGGGGACUACUUUGGCGAUUGCGGGCCAUGUGAUUUGAGGGUUUUUUCUUUGUUUUUGGCGAAGCUUCUUUAGACAGGUCUCCCCCAAUCUGAAGGCGAAGGGGAACACUGGGACUCCUUUGGGCAUUGUAGGUCAAUACCAAGGAGGGUUGUUUUUUUUUUGUUUGUUUUGCCUCCGCCGAACCUGGGCUUUUUGUAAGGGAUAGAUGUGAGGCAAGGCCAGUCCCAGGUCGGAGGUGUGUGUGUGUGUGUGUGGGGCUGAGCCUUUUCCCCUGGCUGCUGGUGGUGUAUCCCUUAAUGUGCUUUUGGAGCCCGAACCAAGCUAGCUGCCAAGCUAGCAGCCAUAGGAGGGCCUGAACUACUUUGAACAUGAACAACCACUGAUGACUUAAAUUGAUCACUUUCCUAUAAUGAAAAGGAAGUGGAGAAAUGGAAAGGAAAAUUCAAAGCAAAACCAAUUCAUGGAGUGUGGGUGUCAUCUGAAGGAAAACCCCUUCAGAGGAGGCAGGGAUUCUCCUGACAUGAGCUUUUCAGAGGAACGAGGUUUGACAAGGUGAGGGCUAAGCCUUUUUGGCUCAGGCCCAGGAAUUCUCUUGCCCUUAGAACUGCCGAUACAUCGAUCAUGAAUGGAUCUGAUCAAGUAUUUCAUACAUCAACCAUACCCCCAUGCCUGGUAGGUUAUAUAUCCACCCCUUUUUUUUUUUUUUACAAAAAUUAAAUAAGAGGGUAUCCUGUUACAAUGAAAUUGUAAACUUAAUCAACAAACAGGAAUACUAGUGAGCUAUCAGAUAAAGAAUC